AAGGACCCCGCGUCCAGGACAGGAAAGUGCGUGAUUUACAGCUAGAGGGACAGGCGCUGUCCCGGAGCCCGUCCUGGGCCAGGGAGCAGGAGGCACCCCUGACCUUGCUUACACACUCUGGAUACCACCUGCUGUGGAGUGGCGGAAGCAGACAUCCAGCGAUAGUUAGGUUUCCUGUCGUUGACACCCAAGCAAGAAAGGCGUGUACCUAACUGAGGACCUGCCCGUGAUAGAAGUCUCAGCUUUUCUCAGAGACAGAGUGACUGAAAAGGCUAGGGUGCGUGCCCAAGACUGCACCUGGGGUAAGAGAGAGCCCAGAGGACAAAUCCCACAGACAACAAUGAUUUGAAAAGCAGGACAUGGA
Molecule: long non-coding RNA, 364 nt
Filed under: Rhinopithecus bieti (black snub-nosed monkey)
Lineage: Eukaryota; Metazoa; Chordata; Mammalia; Primates; Cercopithecidae
Description: lncRNA (ENSRBIG00000045339.1)
Source: RNAcentral